CACGUAGGGCGCAAGCGUUGUCCGGAAUUAUUGGGCGUAAAGAGCUCGUAGGCGGUCUGUUACGUCUGCUGUGAAAACCCAGGGCUUAACCCUGGGCUUGCAGUGGAUACGGGCAGACUAGAGGCAGGUAGGGGAGAAUGGAAUUCCCGGUGUAGCGGUGAAAUGCGCAGAUAUCAGGAGGAACACCGAUGGCGAAGGCAGAUCUCUGGGCCGUAACUGACGCUGAGGAGCGAAAGCAUGGGGAGCGAACAGG
Molecule: ribosomal RNA, 253 nt
Filed under: uncultured bacterium
Lineage: Bacteria
Description: partial 16S ribosomal RNA
Rfam family: Bacterial small subunit ribosomal RNA
Source: RNAcentral